GGAUGAGCCCGCGGCCUAUCAGCUUGUUGGUGGGGUGAUGGCCUACCAAGGCGACGACGGGUAGCCGGCCUGAGAGGGUGACCGGCCACACUGGGACUGAGAUACGGCCCAGACUCCUACGGGAGGCAGCAGUGGGGAAUAUUGCAUAAUGGGCGCAAGCCUGAUGCAGCGACGCCGCGUGAGGGAUGACGGCCUUCGGGUUGUAAACCUCUUUCAGCAGGGACGAAGCGCAAGUGACGGUACCUGUAGAAGAAGGACCGGCCAACUACGUGCCAGCAGCCGCGGUAAUACGUAGGGUCCGAGCGUUGUCCGGAAUUACUGGGCGUAAAGAGCUCGUAGGUGGUUUGUCGCGUUGUUCGUGAAAACUCACAGCUUAGCUGUGGGCGUGCGGGCGAUACGGGCAGACUGGAGUACUGCAGGGGAGACUGGAAUUCCUGGUGUAGCGGUGGAAUGCGCAGAUAUCAGGAGGAACACCGGUGGCGAAGGCGGGUCUCUGGGCAGUAACUGACGCUGAGGAGCGAAAGCGUGGGGAGCGAACAGGAUUAGAUACCCUGGUAGUCCACGCCGUAAACGGUGGGUACUAGGUGUGGGUUUCCUUCCUUGGGAUCCGUGCCGUAGCUAACGCAUUAAGUACCCCGCCUGGGGAGUACGGCCGCAAGGCUAAAACUCAAAGGAAUUGACGGGGGCCCGCACAAGCGGCGGAGCAUGUGGAUUAAUUCGAUGCAACGCGAAGAACUUACCUGGGUUUGACAUGCACAGGACGCCGGCAGAGAUGUCGGUUCCCUUGUGGCCUGUGUGCAGGUGGUGCAUGGCUGUCGUCAGCUCGUGUCGUGAGAUGUUGGGUUAAGUCCCGCAACGAGCGCAACCCUUGUCUCAUGUUGCCAGCACGUUAUGGUGGGGACUCGUGAGAGACUGCCGGGGUCAACUCGGAGGAAGGUGGGGAUGACGUCAAGUCAUCAUGCCCCUUAUGUCCAGGGCUUCACACAUGCUACAAUGGCCGGUACAAAGGGCUGCGAUGCCGUGAGGUGGAGCGAAUCCUUUCAAAGCCGGUCUCAGUUCGGAUCGGGGUCUGCAACUCGACCCCGUGAAGUCGGAGUCGCUAGUAAUCGCAGAUCAGCAACGCUGCGGUGAAUACGUUCCCGGGCCUUGUACACACCGCCCGUCACGUCAUGAAAGUCGGUAACACCCGAAGCCGGUGGCCUAACCCGUAAGGGAGGGAGCCGUCGAAGGUGGGGCUGG
RNAcentral lists this ribosomal RNA (1239 nucleotides) under uncultured Actinomycetes bacterium. RNAcentral's name for it is "bacterial SSU rRNA". It matches the Rfam family "Bacterial small subunit ribosomal RNA", at positions 223 to 1471 of the family's 1533-position model. The record is from RNAcentral. Lineage: Bacteria; Bacillati; Actinomycetota; Actinomycetes.